Molecule: ribosomal RNA, 255 nt
Filed under: uncultured bacterium
Lineage: Bacteria
Description: partial 16S ribosomal RNA
Rfam family: Bacterial small subunit ribosomal RNA
Source: RNAcentral
UACGGAGGGUGCGAGCGUUGUCCGGAAUCAUUGGGCGUAAAGGGCGCGUAGGUGGCCCGGUCAGUUCGUGGUGAAAGCGCGGGGCUCAACCCUGCGUCGGCCAUGAAUACUGCCGCGGCUGGAGCACUGUAGAGGCAGGCGGAAUUCCGGGUGUAGCGGUGGAAUGCGUAGAGAUCCGGAAGAACACCGGUGGCGAAGGCGGCCUGCUGGGCAGUUGCUGGACACUGAGGCGCGACAGCGUGGGGAGCGAACGGG